RNAcentral lists this long non-coding RNA (264 nucleotides) under Homo sapiens (human). RNAcentral's name for it is "non-protein coding lnc-PURG-3:1". Lineage: Eukaryota; Metazoa; Chordata; Mammalia; Primates; Hominidae. The record is from RNAcentral.
CCCAAGGAAAGUCAAGACUGAGAACAAGGAUAAUGUUCAUUUGAAGGUUCAUCUUAAACUGUGGUGCAGUUUAAGAUGAACAGCCACGCACCACACCGCUUAGUAAACCAAUGAAAGCCUAUUGUAAGGGGCACGGUUUGCCAAUGAGGCAGAUCAGGUUUCAAUUUGACAGGCAGCCAAUCAAUGAACCAGACACAUCUGCACAUUUGGAAGUGAGGCUUAAGACAAAACUGAUGUGUUCCAGCAGCAGACAUGGAGAUGUCU